This is a non-coding RNA of Sesamum indicum (sesame), 2231 nucleotides long. The record is from RefSeq and is a predicted model, not a curated record. NCBI's taxonomy places the organism in Eukaryota, Viridiplantae, Streptophyta, Magnoliopsida, Lamiales, Pedaliaceae.
UCACCUCAGUUUCCUAUUAUUUUCUUCUUAAUGGCAGUGAGUUUGGUUCUCUUACCUUACCUAGAUGACUCCGUCAAGGAGAUCCUCUCACCCCCUGUUUUUUUCUAAUAUUCAUGGAAGCUUUCAGUUCAUUGUUACAGAAUGCAGAAAAGGCUGGUCAUAUUCAAGGAAUUGUUGUAUGCAAAAAGGCAAAUGACCCACAAAUUUACCGUUGUGCUACCUUUUCGUCAAUCCUUUGUAUCAAAGAAGUUCUGAACACCUAUGCAAAAGCGUCUGGCCAAGUGGUGAAUCUCAGUAAAUCCUCUGGUCUUGAGCAGACUACCAAUGAUUUUUUUAAGGCGACUUUACCGAAUAUAUUAGGACUUAGACGAGAAGAACAACUAGAACGUUAUCUCAGCUUACCUUCGAUGGUGGGACGAUCAUGAAAAGGAGUAUUCUCGUAUAUUCGGAUAGAGUACGGCAGAAGAUUCAUGGCUAGAACCAGAACAACCUAUCACAAGCAGGCAAGGCAGUCAUUCAAGCUAUACUGUCAUAUAUUAUUAGUGUUUUUCGGCUCCCAAAUUCGCUACUCAAUGAAAUACAAGGAAUGAUGCAGACUUCUUUUGGCAUAAUAAUGAUAAAAGAUGGAUUCAUUGGAUUGGAUGGCCAUGGUUAUGUCAAAGAAAAUUGGAAGGAGGAUUGGGCUUUUGAUCCUUGAAAGUUUUUAAUUUAGCAAUGUUGGCUAAGCAGUUGUGGGGGUUUUUGAUGGAACCACAAUGUCUUUUGUCAUAGGUACUAAAAGCGAAGUAUUUUCCAAACAUGCACUGGUGGCUGCUCUUAUUGACCCUCGUACACAAGAUUGGGAUAGAGAGAUUCUUAAUGGUUUGUUCUUAGAACAAGAUAGAGAAAUCAUCCUUUAGAUGCCCCUCAGCAACACAGAUCAACCAGACUCAAUUUGUUGGCACCGCACACGAAUGGUUCAUUCAGUGUCAAGAGCGCUUAUUUUGUAGCCCUACAGAACCAAAUGGAGCUUCUACAAGUGCAACAUCGGCAAGCGUCAACACCGGCAUAUGGAAGAAAAUCUGGAAUGCUAAUGUUCCCCCUAAGACAAGUGUGGGCAUUAGCUGAAUUACCGUGGUCAAUGGCUUCAACCUGGGGCAAUUGUCCUCUUGAGUGACUCCAACAUCUGUCGGACUCCCUUUCUGGUGAAGAAUUUGAUAGGGUGCUGGUGAUUUGCUGGUUUUUAUGGUGGAGUAGGAACAAACUAUGUAUGGAAAAGAAAUACACAACCUCAAUUCAGACAGUGAAUCCAGCUAAUGCUUUUGACACGACAUUCAGGAUGGUGAACCUCAAAAAGCUUCACAAAUUCAGAUUGCUAGUAACCCGAGUGUAAGUUGGUCACCUCCACCCUUUCCACGGUGCAGUGUUCAAUAACAAAAUGGAAGUUGGCAUUGGGGUUGUGGCUAGAGAAUGUAAUGGAACUGUCUUAACUUGGGUUUCCGACAUAAUUUGAAGAAGAGGUGAUGUUUGUAGUAGAUGUGAUUUCUUAGGGUAAAUCAUGUCUAAGUCUGGAGAGAAAUAUGUGGUGUAUCAAGGCUUGUAUUCAUUCAAAAAGAAAAUAGUGUUGUACAGUGCUUUAUAUACACAGGAAGAGAAUUAACAAAAAUAUAACUGCUGCUAACUAACUAGAUGAAAUCGUGUUCCUAACUAACAAAAGUGUCAAACUACAAAAUACAACUAAUACAACAAUCAGCAACAUCAACUUGCAGCCUGCUCUGUUUUGUGAAUAUUGCUGCUACUGCUGUUGGUUGCUUGCUAUUGUUUUCUGCUGCAAAAUAAUCAUAACACCCCCCUCAAGCUGGAGCGCCGGAGGCCAAGCCCAGCUUGACGAACAAACGAGCAAAAUCAGCAGAGGGGGAGGACUUUGUGAGAAUGUCAGCCAACUGGUCACGCCCAGACAUGUGAGAAGGCUAAAUAAAUCCCAACUUGAACUGAUCCCGCACGAGGUGACAAUCGAUGUCAAGGUGUUUCGUGCGUUUGUGGAACAUGGGAUUGGCGGUGAUAUGGAUAGCGGCCUGAUUAUCGCACCAAAAUGGAACAGGCAUGGGAAAUUGAACACGAAAGGAGCGUAAGAGAUAAGAUAACCACAGAAGUUCACACACGGCUGCACCCAUGCUGCGAUAUUUGGCUUCGGCGGAAGAACGGGACACGGUGACCUAUUUCUUGGACUUCCAAGAGACCAAGGAAGAGCU